UAAUAUAAAAUUUUAAAA
This 18-nucleotide small RNA is filed under the name Arabidopsis thaliana (thale cress). Its description in RNAcentral is "ATSL276480". The record is from RNAcentral. Lineage: Eukaryota; Viridiplantae; Streptophyta; Magnoliopsida; Brassicales; Brassicaceae.